This 253-nucleotide ribosomal RNA is filed under the name uncultured bacterium. RNAcentral describes it as "partial 16S ribosomal RNA". It matches the Rfam family "Bacterial small subunit ribosomal RNA", at positions 524 to 776 of the family's 1533-position model. The record is from RNAcentral.
GACGUAGGGGGCCAGCGUUGUUCGGAAUUACUGGGCGUAAAGGGUUCGUAGGCGGUGCGGCAAGUCGGGUGUGAAAUCUCUGGGCUUAACCCAGAGGCUGCUUCCGAAACUGCUGUGCUUGAGUGUGGGAGAGGCGCGUGGAAUUGCAGGUGUAGCGGUGAAAUGCGUAGAUAUCUGCAGGAACACCCGUGGCGAAAGCGGCGCGCUGGACCACUACUGACGCUGAGGAACGAAAGCUAGGGGAGCAAACAGG